RNAcentral lists this unclassified non-coding RNA (396 nucleotides) under uncultured Agaricales. RNAcentral describes it as "sequence contains ITS2". The stretch from base 1 to 154 matches the Rfam family "5.8S ribosomal RNA". The record is from RNAcentral. Lineage: Eukaryota; Fungi; Basidiomycota; Agaricomycetes; Agaricales.
AACUUUUGACAACGGAUCUCUUGGCUCUCGCAUCGAUGAAGAACGCAGCGAAAUGCGAUAAGUAAUGUGAAUUGCAGAAUUCAGUGAAUCAUCGCAUCUUUGAACGCACCUUGCGCUCCUUGGUAUUCCGAGGAGCAUGCCUGUUUGAGUGUCAUUAAAUUCUCAACCGUUAUUAAUUUAGCGGCUUGGAUGUGUGGGUUGCCGGCUUCCGUCAGCUUCCAUCAAAUGCAUUAGCCGGUGCCGUACGGGCGUCUAUUUGGUGUGAUAAUUAUCUACACCGGUGGACUCUGUCAUUUGCACUGCUUCUAACCGUCUUUUGAAGACAAAUAAUGACAAUUUGACCUCAAAUCAGGUAGGACUACCCGCUGAACUUAAGCAUAUCAAGACGCGGAGGCU